Molecule: ribosomal RNA, 1069 nt
Filed under: uncultured bacterium
Lineage: Bacteria
Description: bacterial SSU rRNA
Rfam family: Bacterial small subunit ribosomal RNA
Source: RNAcentral
GCCUACAGCACGAGCGUAGCUGGUUGAGAGACGACAGCACACUGGACUGAGACACGCCCAGACUCUACGGAGCAGCAGUGGAUUUGACAUGGGGAAACCUGAUCCAGCCAUCCGCGUGUGCGAUGAAGGCUUCGGUUGUAAAGCACUUUGUCAGGAAGAAAAGGUUUCGGAUAAUACCCGGAACUGAUGACGGUACUGAAGAAUAAGCACCGGCUAACUACGUGCCAGCAGCCGCGGUAAUACGUAGGGUGCAAGCGUUAAUCGGAAUUACUGGGCGUAAAGCGUGCGCAGGCGGUUCGGAAAGAAAGAUGUGAAAUCCCAGGGCUCAACCUUGGAACUGCAUUUUUAACUACCGGACUAGAGUAUGUCAGAGGGGGGUGGAAUUCCACGUGUAGCAGUGAAAUGCGUAGAUAUGUGGAGGAACACCGAUGGCGAAGGCAGCCCCCUGGGAUAAUACUGACGCUCAUGCACGAAAGCGUGGGGAGCAAACAGGAUUAGAUACCCUGGUAGUCCACGCCCUAAACGAUGUCAACUAGCUGUUGGGCCCUUCGGGGCUUAGUAGCGCAGCUAACGCGUGAAGUUGACCGCCUGGGGAGUACGGUCGCAAGAUUAAAACUCAAAGGAAUUGACGGGGACCCGCACAAGCGGUGGAUGAUGUGGAUUAAUUCGAUGCAACGCGAAAAACCUUACCUACCCUUGACAUGUCUGGAAUCCUGAAGAGAUUUAGGAGUGCUCGCAAGAGAACCGGAACACAGGUGCUGCAUGGCUGUCGUCAGCUCGUGUCGUGAGAUGUUGGGUUAAGUCCCGCAACGAGCGCAACCCUUGUCAUUAGUUGCUACAUUUAGUUGAGCACUCUAAUGAGACUGCCGGUGACAAACCGGAGGAAGGUGGGGAUGACGUCAAGUCCUCAUGGCCCUUAUGGGUAGGGCUUCACACGUCAUACAAUGGUCGGGACAGAGGGUUGCCAAGCCGCAAGGUGGAGCCAAUCUCACAAACCCGAUCGUAGUCCGGAUUGCAGGCUGCAACUCGCCUGCAUGAAGUCGGAAUCGCUAGUAAUCGCGGAUCAGCA